AGAAUCUUCCGCAAUGGGCGAAAGCCUGACGGAGCGACACCGCGUGCAGGAUGAAGGCCUUCGGGUUGUAAACUGCUGUCACGCCGUAGGAAUGCCACCUGGUUAAUGGCUAUGUGGUUGACCAAAGCGAGAGGAAGCACCGGCUAACUCUGUGCCAGCAGCCGCGGUAAGACAGAGGGUGCAAACGUUGUUCGGAAUCACUGGGCAUAAAGCGAACGUAGGCCGUCCUUCAAGUCACGCGUGAAAUGCCCCGGCUCAACCGGGGAACUGCGCGUGAUACUGUAGGGCUAGAGGUCGGUUGGGGUGAGUGGAACUCCUGGUGGAGCGGUGAAAUGCGUAGAUAUCAGGAGGAACACCGGUGGCGAAAGCGACUCACUGGACCGAAACUGACGCUGAGGUGCGAAAGCUAGGGGAGCAAAC
RNAcentral lists this ribosomal RNA (420 nucleotides) under uncultured bacterium. RNAcentral's name for it is "bacterial SSU rRNA". It matches the Rfam family "Bacterial small subunit ribosomal RNA", at positions 358 to 773 of the family's 1533-position model. The record is from RNAcentral.